GACGAACGCUGGCGGCGUGCUUAACACAUGCAAGUCGUACGGUAAAGCCCUUUCGGGGGUACACGAGUGGCGAACGGGUGAGUAACACGUGAGUAACCUGCCCACAACUUUGGGAUAACGCUAGGAAACUGGUGCUAAUACUGGAUAUGUGCUCCUGCUGCAUGGUGGGGGUUGGAAAGCUCCGGCGGUUGUGGAUGGACUCGCGGCCUAUCAGCUUGUUGGUGGGGUAGUGGCCUACCAAGGCGGCGACGGGUAACCGGCCUGAGAGGGUGACCGGCCACAUUGGGACUGAGAUACGGCCCAGACUCCUACGGGAGGCAGCAGUGGGGAAUAUUGCACAAUGGGCGCAAGCCUGAUGCAGCAACGCCGCGUGCGGGAUGACGGCCUUCGGGUUGUAAACCGCUUUCAGCAGGGACGAAGCUUUUUGUGACGGUACCUGCAGAAGAAGCACCGGCUAACUACGUG
Molecule: ribosomal RNA, 465 nt
Filed under: uncultured bacterium
Lineage: Bacteria
Description: partial 16S ribosomal RNA
Rfam family: Bacterial small subunit ribosomal RNA
Source: RNAcentral